UACGUAGGUGGCAAGCGUUGUCCGGAAUUAUUGGGCGUAAAGCGCGCGCAGGCGGUCCUUUAAGUCUGAUGUGAAAGCCCACGGCUCAACCGUGGCGGGUCAUUGGAAACUGGGGGACUUGAGUGCAGAAGAGGAGAGCGGGAUUCCACGUGUAGCGGUGAAAUGCGUAGAGAUGUGGAGGAACACCAGUGGCGAAGGCGGCUCUCUGGGGUGCAACUGACGCUGAGGUGCGAAAGCGUGGGGAGCGAACCGGA
This 254-nucleotide ribosomal RNA is filed under the name uncultured prokaryote. RNAcentral's name for it is "partial 16S ribosomal RNA". It matches the Rfam family "Bacterial small subunit ribosomal RNA", at positions 524 to 777 of the family's 1533-position model. The record is from RNAcentral.